Molecule: ribosomal RNA, 253 nt
Filed under: uncultured bacterium
Lineage: Bacteria
Description: partial 16S ribosomal RNA
Rfam family: Bacterial small subunit ribosomal RNA
Source: RNAcentral
UACAGAGGGUGCAAGCGUUGCUCGGAUUUACUGGGCGUAAAGCGUACGCAGACGGCCACGCAGGUCGGGUGUGAAAGCCCCGGGCUCAACCCGGGAAUUGCAUUCGAAACCAUGUGGCUCGAGUGUGGGAGAGGGUAGUGGAAUUCCUGGUGUAGAGGUGAAAUUCGUAGAUAUCAGGAGGAACACCGGUGGCGAAGGCGGCGACCUGGGUAGAUACUGACGCUGAGGUGCGAAAGCGUGGGGAGCGAACAGG